GCUUGGCCUUUGGACUACACCAUCUGUCGCUCGCUCUAACGAGCCGGCGUUGCCGCCAGGGGACGCUCGGGCCGCAGGAGGUCGCUGGGUCGUGAGCUGGCGCCGGGGACGCCGAGCGACUGCGGGGUUUCCCUCAGCGUCCUGCUAUCCGGCUGCCCGCCGCGCUCCUUGGUAGUGUCCGUGGGCGCGCAGGCCUUGAAGAACCUCCUCGUGGCGGGACCCCGAGCGCAGGAGAGGUGUCAAAGAGCUGGCGCGUCUCCAGAGCCCCGGGAGGAAGGCUGUAACGGCAGCCCCAUCGUAGACAGGGACAUUCGCAUCCCGAGCCCUGGAUCUCUGAAAACCAGCCCAGAAUUUGGAAGCUGGAAGGAACUUUAGAUCGUCCAUUCUGAGUGUCUCUCUUCGCUGGCGUUUUCCCACUGAGGUUAUGUAAACAUGAAGAGGAGCCUACAAGUGUCAAGGAAAAAACGACAGCUAACCACAGGGCAGGCCAUGGGCAAGAUAUCUCAGUGUUCUCCGCUCUCAUAGGUCAGGUCACGACCCCCAGGAGACCUGGAGGACUGAAUGCUGCUGCCCCCAAGGAGGAGGCUGCUGUCUUAUCCCAGGAGGGAGAGCAGGUGAAGUCCCCAGGGGAGGAAGCACCUAGCCCCAUUCCUGCUGAGCAGGAGGUGGCAGGUACCCCAGACUGGGAGGUAAGGACAGCCCGGGGCUUCGACUGAACGUCUCCAGCGUGGGUCCAACUGAGCAGCCAUGGAGCACUGCAGAGUGGGAGGCAGCAGGGCAGGGAGGCAGUGCUGGAGGCUGGCUCAACCCCAAGACCAGCAGGCCAAGCUGCCAUCCCAGGGGAGCGAGGACGUCUGUGCAGAGCUGAGAGGCAGCAGCCAUGUGUGAACAGACUGGGCCUCAUCCUGGCCCCACCGACUUUGUGUGGACAGAGCCUGUUUCCCUGUCUGUGCAACACAGAACCUGCCUGAUCUCACUGCUGGAUCCCUCUUCUUCCUGCCAGGAAAAUAAAAAGGUUCAAAAGGAAGUUGCUGCGUAUCCAUCUGAGGCCUCUGAGGACAGCAAAGAGCAAAGGCCCUGGGACCGGGUCUACGUGCCCAUGACAGAGCUCUGGCUGGACUGGUUCUGAGCCUCUAACACCCCCAAGACUCAGAACCGUGAAGAAAAUCUUUCCAAUAAAUCCAAGAGUUGCUGCUGCUAUAGGCCAGGCUGCCACCUUUCGGGGCCUCCGUCUUCAGACAAACCCAGCCUGGCUUCAUCCACACUCCCUGUCCCCACAGCUGCAGGAACAGCACUUCCUGCCACCGAGCCGUGUGACCACAGUGGAUUGUCUCUGGAGGGGCCCAAGGGGGCCCUGGCCACCCUUCUGACUGACUCGGUGCCAGGGGACAGACCAACGUCCCUCUCGUGCUGACAGCCGGGCCGCACCCUGGCAUGAGGGCAUUUACAGAAAUGCUGGCGGAACUGCUGCCAGGGAGGCUGUAGGGUCCUCUGGCAAAAGAGGCCUCAGGUGGCUCCUCA
This 1521-nucleotide small RNA is filed under the name Homo sapiens (human). RNAcentral's name for it is "NDUFA6 divergent transcript (ENSG00000280811.2)". Lineage: Eukaryota; Metazoa; Chordata; Mammalia; Primates; Hominidae. The record is from RNAcentral.